Molecule: ribosomal RNA, 120 nt
Filed under: Spirochaetota bacterium
Lineage: Bacteria; Pseudomonadati; Spirochaetota
Description: Spirochaetes bacterium (activated sludge metagenome) partial 16S ribosomal RNA
Rfam family: Bacterial small subunit ribosomal RNA
Source: RNAcentral
AUAAUGGAGAGUUUGAUUCUGGCUCAGAACGAACGCUGGCGGCGCGUCUUAAACAUGCAAGUCGAACGAUCUGUAGCAAUACAGGGAGUGGCGGACGGGUGAGGAACACGUAGGAAUCUA